Molecule: long non-coding RNA, 1371 nt
Organism: Gossypium raimondii (Peruvian cotton)
Lineage: Eukaryota; Viridiplantae; Streptophyta; Magnoliopsida; Malvales; Malvaceae
Exons: 2
Source: RefSeq, a predicted model, not a curated record
CCAAACGCACCCUAAAUCUUGAAAACAAAAUAAAUCAAUUUGAAAAUUAAAAAAAUUAAAGCCCUUUGGAUUACCCUUGAAAACAUAACUCCCUUUCUUGCAUCGGAGAAAACCUUCAGAAUGGCCUUGAUCUUUAAGAAAAACAAUUUGCUGGAUCCCUCUAAGAUCCUGAGUUCAUCGAAGCCUAUUAUAUUCCUCCGGACUCAGUAGAUCGGAGAAUCAUACUGUUGUCCAUAAAAUGCUCUUCCGUGCGCCGGCCCAUUCGCUGAUCGGAAAGUUUUCUGAAAAGAUAUGUUUCGAAAUCUUGAGUAUCUAUUUUUUAUUUCUUUUAUAAUGUUUGCUAUCUCUGACCUGUCAUUGUGUUCGUCGUUCAGUUUUUUUACUACUGUCAGAGUAUCUCCUUCAACACAUAUAGCUUGAAAACCAAGUUCCUCUGCGAACGUGACCACUUGUAGACAAGCCCAUGCCUCGGCCGUGGUAGAAUCCCGUACAUUUUGCCAUUGGUGCUCACAAGCUCCCAUUACAAACCCUCGUUGUUUCUUAUUAUAACCCCUCCUGUUGCCCGUUUUAAAAGUUUCUGAAAAGAUGCAUCAAAGUUGGCUUUGACUUGAUCUCCCUCCGGGGGUCUGGGUCUCCAUGUGUCAUUUUUAUUCCUUUGUAAAAACUCUGUGAUUCCUUCUGUUUGUGAUAUCUCUAUCGUAUAAUUUCUAACGGAACUUGCUAUUUCCUGUGCUUUAUUUAAAAUGCCUUCAUGUAUAAAUUUGUUUCUGCUAAACCAAAUUGCCCAAAAGGCUACAGCUGUAGUAACAUAGAGUUGUGAACUUUUGUUGCCUAAUUCCGUUACUAACCAUUUGUUCCAAUCAUUUUCCGUAUUUCUGUUUGAAAGUGUAACCUCAAGCUCCUGGAGAACUUGUUUUGUCAGCUUGCAAUAUCUGAAACGGUGGGCCACUGUUUCGUCCUCCUCUUUGCAGAUCGGGCAAUUCGCCUCUGUCCUUAAUCUCCUCAUUUUUAGGUUGCUAAGAGUGGGUAGAAAAUUAUUAGUGAUUCUCCAUAAAUUUAUUCUUACCUUGCUAGGAAUUUUGAGACCCCAUAAGGUUGUAAAAUAAUUUUUUGUAGCUUCAUCGGUAUUGUAUUAUUAUUUACUAGCUGGUGUAGACCACUUGUAAUUUGUCAUUUGUACCCACUUUUUACUGUGUAAUUACCCGAAUUGUCUCCUCUCUAUACUAGUUUGUCUGAUUGCAUGCUGUCAACUAGAGGAAUUGAUGUUAUUUGUUCCGCUUGUUCUUCACUGAACAGCCUUGUGAUAGCUUCAGAAUUCCAGGUGUUUUCUUCCUUAUUAUUUAAAUCAGAGACUGUUGGGAAAUUUAUAUU